UAUUUUAGCGGCGGACGGCGUGAGUAACGUGUGGGUAACCUGCCAUAUACUGGGGAAUAAUCAUUUGAAAAGAUGACUAAUACCGCAUGUCGCCACCGAGGGGCAUCCCUUGGUGAAAAAAGGAGUAAUCCGGUAUAUGAUGGACCCGCAUCUGAUUAGCUAGUUGGUGAGAUAACAGCUCACCAAGGCGACGAUCAGUAGCCGACCUGAGAGGGUGAUCGGCCACAUUGGGACUGAGACACGGCCCAAACUCCUACGGGAGGCAGCAGUGGGGAAUAUUGCACAAUGGGCGAAAGCCUGAUGCAGCAACGCCGCGUGAAGGAAGAAGGGUUUCGGCUCGUAAACUUCUAUCAAUGGGGAAGAAACAAAUGACGGUACCCAAAUAAGAAGCCCCGGCUAACUACGUGCCAGCAGCCGCGGUAAUACGUAGGGGGCAAGCGUUAUCCGGAAUUACUGGGUGUAAAGGGAGCGUAGGCGGUAUGAUAAGCCAGAUGUGAAAGCCCGAAGCUUAACUUCGUGGAUUGCAUUUGGAACUAUCAAACUAGAGUACAGGAGAGGUAAGUGGAAUUCCUAGUGUAGCGGUGAAAUGCGUAGAUAUUAGGAAGAACACCAGUGGCGAAGGCGACUUACUGGACUGAAACUGACGCUGA
RNAcentral lists this ribosomal RNA (650 nucleotides) under sulfate-reducing bacterium enrichment culture clone 1-3-5-otu3-2. RNAcentral describes it as "bacterial SSU rRNA". It matches the Rfam family "Bacterial small subunit ribosomal RNA", at positions 88 to 749 of the family's 1533-position model. The record is from RNAcentral.